RNAcentral lists this ribosomal RNA (500 nucleotides) under uncultured bacterium. RNAcentral describes it as "partial 16S ribosomal RNA". It matches the Rfam family "Bacterial small subunit ribosomal RNA", at positions 30 to 523 of the family's 1533-position model. The record is from RNAcentral.
AUUGAACGCUGGCGGCAUGCCUUACACAUGCAAGUCGAACGGCAGCACGGGAGCAAUCCUGGUGGCGAGUGGCGAACGGGUGAGUAAUGUAUCGGAACGUGCCCAGUCGUGGGGGAUAACGUAGCGAAAGCUACGCUAAUACCGCAUACGAUCUAUGGAUGAAAGCGGGGGAUCGCAAGACCUCGCGCGAUUGGAGCGGCCGAUAUCAGAUUAAGUAGUUGGGGGGGUAAAGGCUCACCAAGCCGACGAUCUGUAGCUGGUCUGAGAGGACGACCAGCCACACUGGGACUGGGACAGGGCCACGACGCCUACGGGAGGCAGCAGUGGGGAAUUUUGGACAAUGGGCGCAAGCCUGAUCCAGCAAUGCCGCGUGCAGGAUGAAGGCCUUCGGGUUGUAAACUGCUUUUGUACGGAACGAAACGGCGAGCUCUAAUACAGUUUGCUAAUGACGGUACCGUAAGAAUAAGCACCGGCUAACUACGUGCCAGCAGCCGCCGUAA